Molecule: ribosomal RNA, 2904 nt
Filed under: Escherichia coli
Lineage: Bacteria; Pseudomonadati; Pseudomonadota; Gammaproteobacteria; Enterobacterales; Enterobacteriaceae
Description: 23S ribosomal RNA
Rfam family: Bacterial large subunit ribosomal RNA
Source: RNAcentral
GGUUAAGCGACUAAGCGUACACGGUGGAUGCCCUGGCAGUCAGAGGCGAUGAAGGACGUGCUAAUCUGCGAUAAGCGUCGGUAAGGUGAUAUGAACCGUUAUAACCGGCGAUUUCCGAAUGGGGAAACCCAGUGUGAUUCGUCACACUAUCAUUAACUGAAUCCAUAGGUUAAUGAGGCGAACCGGGGGAACUGAAACAUCUAAGUACCCCGAGGAAAAGAAAUCAACCGAGAUUCCCCCAGUAGCGGCGAGCGAACGGGGAGCAGCCCAGAGCCUGAAUCAGUGUGUGUGUUAGUGGAAGCGUCUGGAAAGGCGUGCGAUACAGGGUGACAGCCCCGUACACAAAAAUGCACAUAUUGUGAGCUCGAUGAGUAGGGCGGGACACGUGGUAUCCUGUCUGAAUAUGGGGGGACCAUCCUCCAAGGCUAAAUACUCCUGACUGACCGAUAGUGAACCAGUACCGUGAGGGAAAGGCGAAAAGAACCCCGGCGAGGGGAGUGAAAAAGAACCUGAAACCGUGUACGUACAAGCAGUGGGAGCACGCUUAGGCGUGUGACUGCGUACCUUUUGUAUAAUGGGUCAGCGACUUAUAUUCUGUAGCAAGGUUAACCGAAUAGGGGAGCCGAAGGGAAACCGAGUCUUAACUGGGCGUUAAGUUGCAGGGUAUAGACCCGAAACCCGGUGAUCUAGCCAUGGGCAGGUUGAAGGUUGGGUAACACUAACUGGAGGACCGAACCGACUAAUGUUGAAAAAUUAGCGGAUGACUUGUGGCUGGGGGUGAAAGGCCAAUCAAACCGGGAGAUAGCUGGUUCUCCCCGAAAGCUAUUUAGGUAGCGCCUCGUGAAUUCAUCUCCGGGGGUAGAGCACUGUUUCGGCAAGGGGGUCAUCCCGACUUACCAACCCGAUGCAAACUGCGAAUACCGGAGAAUGUUAUCACGGGAGACACACGGCGGGUGCUAACGUCCGUCGUGAAGAGGGAAACAACCCAGACCGCCAGCUAAGGUCCCAAAGUCAUGGUUAAGUGGGAAACGAUGUGGGAAGGCCCAGACAGCCAGGAUGUUGGCUUAGAAGCAGCCAUCAUUUAAAGAAAGCGUAAUAGCUCACUGGUCGAGUCGGCCUGCGCGGAAGAUGUAACGGGGCUAAACCAUGCACCGAAGCUGCGGCAGCGACGCUUAUGCGUUGUUGGGUAGGGGAGCGUUCUGUAAGCCUGUGAAGGUGUACUGUGAGGUAUGCUGGAGGUAUCAGAAGUGCGAAUGCUGACAUAAGUAACGAUAAAGCGGGUGAAAAGCCCGCUCGCCGGAAGACCAAGGGUUCCUGUCCAACGUUAAUCGGGGCAGGGUGAGUCGACCCCUAAGGCGAGGCCGAAAGGCGUAGUCGAUGGGAAACAGGUUAAUAUUCCUGUACUUGGUGUUACUGCGAAGGGGGGACGGAGAAGGCUAUGUUGGCCGGGCGACGGUUGUCCCGGUUUAAGCGUGUAGGCUGGUUUUCCAGGCAAAUCCGGAAAAUCAAGGCUGAGGCGUGAUGACGAGGCACUACGGUGCUGAAGCAACAAAUGCCCUGCUUCCAGGAAAAGCCUCUAAGCAUCAGGUAACAUCAAAUCGUACCCCAAACCGACACAGGUGGUCAGGUAGAGAAUACCAAGGCGCUUGAGAGAACUCGGGUGAAGGAACUAGGCAAAAUGGUGCCGUAACUUCGGGAGAAGGCACGCUGAUAUGUAGGUGAAGUCCCUCGCGGAUGGAGCUGAAAUCAGUCGAAGAUACCAGCUGGCUGCAACUGUUUAUUAAAAACACAGCACUGUGCAAACACGAAAGUGGACGUAUACGGUGUGACGCCUGCCCGGUGCCGGAAGGUUAAUUGAUGGGGUCAGCGCAAGCGAAGCUCUUGAUCGAAGCCCCGGUAAACGGCGGCCGUAACUAUAACGGUCCUAAGGUAGCGAAAUUCCUUGUCGGGUAAGUUCCGACCUGCACGAAUGGCGUAAUGAUGGCCAGGCUGUCUCCACCCGAGACUCAGUGAAAUUGAACUCGCUGUGAAGAUGCAGUGUACCCGCGGCAAGACGGAAAGACCCCGUGAACCUUUACUAUAGCUUGACACUGAACAUUGAGCCUUGAUGUGUAGGAUAGGUGGGAGGCUUAGAAGUGUGGACGCCAGUCUGCAUGGAGCCGACCUUGAAAUACCACCCUUUAAUGUUUGAUGUUCUAACGUUGACCCGUGAUCCGGGUUGCGGACAGUGUCUGGUGGGUAGUUUGACUGGGGCGGUCUCCUCCUAAAGAGUAACGGAGGAGCACGAAGGUUGGCUAAUCCUGGUCGGACAUCAGGAGGUUAGUGCAAUGGCAUAAGCCAGCUUGACUGCGAGCGUGACGGCGCGAGCAGGUGCGAAAGCAGGUCAUAGUGAUCCGGUGGUUCUGAAUGGAAGGGCCAUCGCUCAACGGAUAAAAGGUACUCCGGGGAUAACAGGCUGAUACCGCCCAAGAGUUCAUAUCGACGGCGGUGUUUGGCACCUCGAUGUCGGCUCAUCACAUCCUGGGGCUGAAGUAGGUCCCAAGGGUAUGGCUGUUCGCCAUUUAAAGUGGUACGCGAGCUGGGUUUAGAACGUCGUGAGACAGUUCGGUCCCUAUCUGCCGUGGGCGCUGGAGAACUGAGGGGGGCUGCUCCUAGUACGAGAGGACCGGAGUGGACGCAUCACUGGUGUUCGGGUUGUCAUGCCAAUGGCACUGCCCGGUAGCUAAAUGCGGAAGAGAUAAGUGCUGAAAGCAUCUAAGCACGAAACUUGCCCCGAGAUGAGUUCUCCCUGACUCCUUGAGAGUCCUGAAGGAACGUUGAAGACGACGACGUUGAUAGGCCGGGUGUGUAAGCGCAGCGAUGCGUUGAGCUAACCGGUACUAAUGAACCGUGAGGCUUAACCUU